UGUUUGAUGUUCUAACGUGGACCCGUGAUCCGGGUUGCGGACAGUGUCUGGUGGGUAGUUUGACUGGGGCGGUCUCCUCCUAAAGAGUAACGGAGGAGCACGAAGGUUGGCUAAUCCUGGUCGGACAUCAGGAGGUUAGUGCAAUGGCAUAAGCCAGCUUGACUGCGAGCGUGACGGCGCGAGCAGGUGCGAAAGCAGGUCAUAGUGAUCCGGUGGUUCUGAAUGGAAGGGCCAUCGCUCAACGGAUAAAAGGUACUCCGGGGAUAACAGGCUGAUACCGCCCAAGAGUUCAUAUCGACGGCGGUGUUUGGCACCUCGAUGUCGGCUCAUCACAUCCUGGGGCUGAAGUAGGUCCCAAGGGUAUGGCUGUUCGCCAUUUAAAGUGGUACGCGAGCUGGGUUUAGAACGUCGUGAGACAGUUCGGUCCCUAUCUGCCGUGGGCGCUGGAGAACUGAGGGGGGCU
Molecule: ribosomal RNA, 463 nt
Filed under: Shigella sonnei
Lineage: Bacteria; Pseudomonadati; Pseudomonadota; Gammaproteobacteria; Enterobacterales; Enterobacteriaceae
Also listed under: 1 other name
Description: partial 23S ribosomal RNA
Rfam family: Bacterial large subunit ribosomal RNA
Source: RNAcentral